CAGUCGCCGCGGGAAUACGGAGGGUGCAAGCGUUAAUCGGAAUUACUGGGCGUAAAGCGCACGCAGGCGGUCUGUCAAGUCAGAUGUGAAAUCCCCGGGCUUAACCUGGGAACUGCAUUUGAAACUGGCAGGCUAGAGUCUUGUAGAGGGGGGUAGAAUUCCAGGUGUAGCGGUGAAAUGCGUAGAGAUCUGGAGGAAUACCGGUGGCGAAGGCGGCCCCCUGGACAAAGACUGACGCUCAGGUGCGAAAGCGUGGGGAGCAAACAGGAUUAGAUACCCGCGUAGUCCCUGUCUCUUAUAC
RNAcentral lists this ribosomal RNA (301 nucleotides) under uncultured bacterium. RNAcentral's name for it is "partial 16S ribosomal RNA". It matches the Rfam family "Bacterial small subunit ribosomal RNA", at positions 509 to 807 of the family's 1533-position model. The record is from RNAcentral.